Molecule: ribosomal RNA, 211 nt
Filed under: Fusarium oxysporum
Lineage: Eukaryota; Fungi; Ascomycota; Sordariomycetes; Hypocreales; Nectriaceae
Description: partial large subunit ribosomal RNA
Source: RNAcentral
AAGCGUUUAUGACCAGACUUGGGCUUGGUUAAUCAUCUGGGGUUCUCCCCAGUGCACUUUUCCAGUCCAGGCCAGCAUCAGUUUUCCCCGGGGGAUAAAGGCGGCGGGAAUGUGGCUCUCUUCGGGGAGUGUUAUAGCCCACCGUGUAAUACCCUGGGGGGGACUGAGGUUCGCGCAUCUGCAAGGAUGCUGGCGUAAUGGUCAUCAACGA